Molecule: ribosomal RNA, 356 nt
Filed under: uncultured bacterium
Lineage: Bacteria
Description: bacterial SSU rRNA
Rfam family: Bacterial small subunit ribosomal RNA
Source: RNAcentral
AACGAACGCUGGCGGCGUGGAUAAGACAUGCAAGUCGAACGGGACAACAUUUGUAGCAAUACCGAUGUUGUUUAGUGGCGAACGGGUGCGUAACACGUGGGCAAUCUGCCGAGAAGUGGGGGAUAGCUCGCCGAAAGGCGAAUUAAUACCGCAUAUGAUCAGAGGAGACAUUUCUUCGACAUCAAAGCCGGGGCAACCUGGCGCUUUUUGAGGAGCCCGCGGCCUAUCAGCUAGUUGGUGAGGUAACGGCUCACCAAGGCUUUGACGGGUAGCUGGUCUGAGAGGACGACCAGUCACACUGGAACUGAGACACGGUCCAGACACCUACGGGUGGCAGCAGUCGAGUAAUUUUUUCU